RNAcentral lists this ribosomal RNA (483 nucleotides) under uncultured bacterium. RNAcentral describes it as "partial 16S ribosomal RNA". It matches the Rfam family "Bacterial small subunit ribosomal RNA", at positions 28 to 523 of the family's 1533-position model. The record is from RNAcentral.
GAUGAACGCUGGCGGCGUGCCUAAUACAUGCAAGUCGAGCGAACCACUUCGGUGGUGAGCGGCGAACGGGUGAGUAACACGUAGGUGAUCUGCCCAUCAGACGGGGACAACGAUUGGAAACGAUCGCUAAUACCGGAUAGGACGAAAGUUUAAAGGUGCUUCUGGCACCGCUGAUGGAUGAGCCUGCGGCGCAUUAGCUAGUUGGUAGGGUAAAGGCCUACCAAGGCGACGAUGCGUAGCCGACCUGAGAGGGUGAACGGCCACACUGGGACUGAGACACGGCCCAGACUCCUACGGGAGGCAGCAGUAGGGAAUCUUCGGCAAUGGGCGAAAGCCUGACCGAGCAACGCCGCGUGAGUGAGGAAGGUCUUCGGAUCGUAAAGCUCUGUUGUAAGAGAAAAACGACAUUCAUAGGGAAUGAUGAGUGAGUGAUGGUAUCUUACCAGAAAGUCACGGCUAACUACGUGCCAGCCGCCGCAGUAA